RNAcentral lists this ribosomal RNA (465 nucleotides) under Vreelandella stevensii. RNAcentral describes it as "partial 16S ribosomal RNA". It matches the Rfam family "Bacterial small subunit ribosomal RNA", at positions 338 to 795 of the family's 1533-position model. Lineage: Bacteria; Pseudomonadati; Pseudomonadota; Gammaproteobacteria; Oceanospirillales; Halomonadaceae. The record is from RNAcentral.
CCUAGGGGUGGCUGCAGUGGGGAAUAUUGGACAAUGGGCGAAAGCCUGAUCCAGCCAUGCCGCGUGUGUGAAGAAGGCCUUCGGGUUGUAAAGCACUUUCAGUGGGGAAGAAAGCCUUGGGGCUAAUACCCUCGAGGAAGGACAUCACCCACAGAAGAAGCACCGGCUAACUCCGUGCCAGCAGCCGCGGUAAUACGGAGGGUGCGAGCGUUAAUCGGAAUUACUGGGCGUAAAGCGCGCGUAGGCGGUCUGAUAAGCCGGUUGUGAAAGCCCCGGGCUCAACCUGGGAACGGCAUCCGGAACUGUCAGGCUAGAGUGCAGGAGAGGAAGGUAGAAUUCCCGGUGUAGCGGUGAAAUGCGUAGAGAUCGGGAGGAAUACCAGUGGCGUAGGCGGCCUUCUGGACUGACACUGACGCUGAGGUGCGAAAGCGUGGGUAGCAAACAGGAUUAGAUACCCCUGUAGUC